This 497-nucleotide ribosomal RNA is filed under the name uncultured bacterium. RNAcentral describes it as "partial 16S ribosomal RNA". It matches the Rfam family "Bacterial small subunit ribosomal RNA", at positions 28 to 507 of the family's 1533-position model. The record is from RNAcentral.
GAUGAACGCUGGCGGCGUGCCUAAUACAUGCAAGUCGAGCGAACAGACGAGGAGCUUGCUUCUCUGACGUUAGCGGCGGACGGGUGAGUAACACGUGGAUAACCUACCUAUAAGACUGGGAUAACUUCGGGAAACCGGAGCUAAUACCGGAUAAUAUAUUGAACCGCAUGGUUCAAUAGUGAAAGACGGUUUUGCUGUCACUUAUAGAUGGAUCCGCGCCGCAUUAGCUAGUUGGUAAGGUAACGGCUUACCAAGGCAACGAUGCGUAGCCGACCUGAGAGGGUGAUCGGCAACACUGGAACUGAGACACGGUCCAGACUCCUACGGGAGGCAGCAGUAGGGAAUCUUCCGCAAUGGGCGAAAGCCUGACGGAGCAACGCCGCGUGAGUGAUGAAGGUCUUCGGAUCGUAAAACUCUGUUAUUAGGGAAGAACAAAUGUGUAAGUAACUAUGCACGUCUGGACGGUACCUAAUCAGAAAGCCACGGCUAACUACGUG